UACAGAGGGUGCAAACGUUAAUCGGAAUUACUGGGCGUAAAGGGCGCGUAGGCGGUCAUAUAAGUUAGAUGUGAAAUCCCUGGGCUUAACCUAGGAACUGCAUCUGAUACUGUAUGGCUAGAGUAUUGUAGAGGGUAGUGGAAUUUCCGGUGUAGCGGUGGAAUGCGUAGAGAUCGGAAGGAACACCAGUGGCGAGGGCGGCUACCUGGACAAAUACUGACGCUGAGGCGCGAGAGCGUGGGGAGCAAACAGG
Molecule: ribosomal RNA, 253 nt
Filed under: uncultured bacterium
Lineage: Bacteria
Description: partial 16S ribosomal RNA
Rfam family: Bacterial small subunit ribosomal RNA
Source: RNAcentral